Molecule: non-coding RNA, 342 nt
Organism: Butyrivibrio fibrisolvens 16/4
Lineage: Bacteria; Bacillati; Bacillota; Clostridia; Lachnospirales; Lachnospiraceae
Source: Rfam
GGGCUAGUCAUGGUUUCGACAGGGGUCAUGCAGCGGAAGAAGCGAGUCCCACGGCGAUGGGUUAAAUGGCCAAACUUAAAAUUAAACGCUAACGAUAAUUUAGCAUACGCUGCCUAGUUGCGGCAGUCUGACCUAGAGCACCUACACUUUAGGAUCCAGACUUCGACUCUGUAGGAAACGACGUUAUCAAAGCUUUGCGAUGACGGGCGUAUUAUGAAGCUACUAAAGCAUAAAACCUGUUUGUGGGUGUUAUGUGGAGGGAAUGUAAAAAUACAAACUACACUCGUAGAAGGGCCGGGAAUUGGCUUUUGGACACGGGUUCGACUCCCGUCUAGUCCACUA